UAAUAAGAAAUUAUUCUAUAUUA
RNAcentral lists this transfer RNA (23 nucleotides) under Myzobdella lugubris. Its description in RNAcentral is "partial tRNA-Leu". Lineage: Eukaryota; Metazoa; Annelida; Clitellata; Hirudinida; Piscicolidae. The record is from RNAcentral.